Molecule: ribosomal RNA, 405 nt
Filed under: uncultured bacterium
Lineage: Bacteria
Description: partial 16S ribosomal RNA
Rfam family: Bacterial small subunit ribosomal RNA
Source: RNAcentral
AUUGAACGCUGGCGGCAGGCUUAACACAUGCCAGUCGAACGAGUGGCGGACGGGGGACUCAUGCUUGGGACUAUGGCUGAUGUAGGGGGAUCACUACGGGAACCUGUAGCUAAUACCGCCUACCAUAGGAUGAGCCCACGUGGGAGUAGGUAGUUGGUGAGGUCAAGGCUCACCAAGCCGACGAUCUCUAGCUGGUCUGCGAGGAUGACCAGCCACACUGGGACGGAGACACGGCUGAGACGCCUACGGGAGGCAGCAGGGGGGAAAAUUGCGCAAGGGGGGCAACCUGACGCAGCCAUGCCGCGGGAAUGAAGAAGGCCUUCGGGUUGUAAAGGUCGUUAGGUAGCGAGGCGUUAACUACAGAAGAAGCACCGGCUAACUCCGUGCCAGCAGCCGCGGUAAUAC